Phalacrocorax carbo (great cormorant) is the source of this 631-nucleotide non-coding RNA. NCBI's taxonomy places the organism in Eukaryota, Metazoa, Chordata, Aves, Suliformes, Phalacrocoracidae. The record is from RefSeq and is a predicted model, not a curated record.
AAAAUGUGUUAUUUCUCAUAGAAGUGUUUGGAGAAAUUUUUACGGAAUCAUGAAGUUCUUCUAGUCCGGCAUCUGCAGCGUGCCAACUGUAUGGCAGCACUACAGCUGAGCCAGGCGAGGAACGUUCAUCUCAUGACCGAUUGUGAUCCUCGCUGGGGACAGGGGGCAGCUGCCAGAAAUUCUCUGUCAGCAAAACAUGGCAAGAUCCUUCCUCGAGGUCAGAGGCAGCUGGCUGUAGAGAGAGCCAAGCCUUACCAUCUGCCUUCAUCCGGACCAAGAGGAGCCGCAAGACCAAAGCCAUUCUCGACAGUAACAGGACAAGCUAAUGCAGGAGAUGUGCCUCCCAGAGCACCUUUCAGCAGUCGUGUACUGGCCAAAGUUAGAGAGUUAUGGGUUUCCAUCGCAGGAAUGCUGUUCUCACCAACGCAGUCAAGAGAAUGAGUGCCUCUGAGAUGCUUGGAGAGAAAUGUUCUGCGGUUCCUUGUGAAUUACAGCUGUUCCUCAAAUAAAAAGUGUUUCCCAAUGCACUGUGCUGUGUGGGUGACCCAUACGUGAGGUAGAGGGAAAAAUGCAAGUGGCGGUUCCUGAUGUGCCUGUUGGUUCAGGUCACUCACUCCUGGGCUGUGCAUCA